Molecule: ribosomal RNA, 392 nt
Filed under: uncultured bacterium
Lineage: Bacteria
Description: bacterial SSU rRNA
Rfam family: Bacterial small subunit ribosomal RNA
Source: RNAcentral
GACGAACGCUGGCGGCGUGCUUAACACAUGCAAGUCGAGCGGUAAGGCCCUUUCGGGGGUACACGAGCGGCGAACGGGUGAGUAACACGUGGGUGACCUGCCUCUAGCUCUGGGAUAAGCCUGGGAAGCUGGGUCUAAUACCGGAUAUGACCUCGCGGUGCAUGUUGCGGGGUGGAAAGCCUUGUGCGGCUAGGGAUGGGCCCGCGGCCUAUCAGCUUGUUGGUGGGGGUGANGGCCUACCAAGGCGACGACGGGUAGCCGGCCUGAGAGGGCGACCGGCCACACUGGGACUGAGACACGGUCCAGACUCCUACGGGAGGCAGCAGUGGGGAAUCUUGCGCAAUGGGCGAAAGCCUGACGCAGCGACGCCGCGUGAGGGAUGACGGCCUCGG